Small nuclear RNA from Lagenorhynchus albirostris (white-beaked dolphin), 104 nucleotides. The record is from RefSeq and is a predicted model, not a curated record. Lineage: Eukaryota; Metazoa; Chordata; Mammalia; Artiodactyla; Delphinidae.
GUGCUCACACUGGAAGCACAUAUACAAAAUUGGAAUCAUACAGAGAAAAUAAGCAUGUCCUCUGUUCAAGGAUGAUAUAAAUUUAUGAUACAUUUCAUAUUUUU